Molecule: ribosomal RNA, 497 nt
Filed under: uncultured bacterium
Lineage: Bacteria
Description: partial 16S ribosomal RNA
Rfam family: Bacterial small subunit ribosomal RNA
Source: RNAcentral
ACUCAAAGGAAUUGACGGGGGCCCGCACAAGCGGUGGAGAAUGUGGUUUAAUUCGAUGCAACGCGAAAAACCUUACCUGGGUUUGGCAUCCUCUGAACGCCGUAGAGAUACGGAAGGCCCGAAAGGGACAGAGAGACAGGUGCUGCAUGGCUGUCGUCAGCUCGUGUCGUGAGAUGUUGGGUUAAGUCCCGCAACGAGCGCAACCCUUAUCUUUAGUUGCCAGCAUUAAGUUGGGCACUCUAAAGAGACUGCCAACGUUAAGUUGGAGGAAGGCGGGGAUGACGUCAAGUCCUCAUGGCCUUUAUAUCCAGGGCAACACACGUUCUACAAUGGUCGGUACAAAGCGCUGCGAAAUCGCGAGAUGGAGCUAACCGCAAAAAACCGAUCUAAGUUCAGAUUGGAGUCUGCAACUCGACUCCAUGAAGUUGGAAUCGCUAGUAAUCGCGGAUCAGAAUGCCGCGGUGAAUACGUUCCCGGGCCUUGUACACACCGCCCGU